Regulatory RNA element from Daphnia magna, 20 nucleotides. It matches the Rfam family "HIV-1 stem-loop 4 packaging signal". NCBI's taxonomy places the organism in Eukaryota, Metazoa, Arthropoda, Branchiopoda, Diplostraca, Daphniidae. The record is from Rfam.
UGGAUGCGAGAGCGUCAGUG